This 253-nucleotide ribosomal RNA is filed under the name uncultured bacterium. Its description in RNAcentral is "partial 16S ribosomal RNA". It matches the Rfam family "Bacterial small subunit ribosomal RNA", at positions 524 to 776 of the family's 1533-position model. The record is from RNAcentral.
UACGUAGGUCCCGAGCGUUGUCCGGAUUUACUGGGCGUAAAGGGAGCGCAGGCGGCGCGCCAAGUCUGAUGUGAAACCCCGGGGCUCAACCCCGGGCAUGCAUUGGAAACUGGCGGGCUGGAGUGCCGGAGAGGUAAGCGGAAUUCCUAGUGUAGCGGUGAAAUGCGUAGAUAUUAGGAGGAACACCAGUGGCGAAGGCGGCUUACUGGACGGCAACUGACGCUGAGGCUCGAAAGCGUGGGGAGCAAACAGG